CGGGCGGUUCGCCGCCCGUGACUCUGCGAGAAGUCCAUUGGAACCUUAUCAUUUAGAGGAAGGAGAAGUCGUAACAAGGUUUCCGUAGGUGAACCUGCGGAAGGAUCAUUGUCGAGACCGAAAUACAUCGAGCGAUUCGGAGAACCUGUGAACGAGCGGUGGCACUCGCCGCCGCGUAACAGCCGUCCCGGUCGCUGGCCUCGUCGGGGCCACGGCGAGGGGCGGAUGAAAACUCAAACCGGCGCAGCUACGCGCCAAGGGAAUACGGAAGACACGAGCCCGCAUCGGGUUCGAUGGCGUGGAGUGCUGUCGCACACCACAUGGAUCGAAAUGACUCUCGGCAAUGGAUAUCUCGGCUCUCGCAUCGAUGAAGAGCGCAGCGAAAUGCGAUACGUGGUGCGAAUUGCAGAAUCCCGCGAACCAUCGAGAAUUUGAACGCAAGUUGCGCCCGAGGCCAGCUGGCCAAGGGCACGUCCGCCUGGGCGUCAAGCGUUGCGUCGCUCCGUGCCAGCUCCAUCCCACCCGAAGGGUUUGCGUGCAGAUUGGUCGGAUGUGCAGAGUGGCUCGUCGUGCCCACGGGCGCGGCGGGCUGAAGAGCGGGUGAUCGUCUCGUUGGCCACGAACAAUAAGGGGUGGAUGAAAAUUGUGCCUGUGUUGUAUCGUGCCGGCCCGAGAAGAGAUCCUGCCCUUAUGAUGAUCCCAGCCCAAGCGUUGAUCCGCGGACGGCGGCUUGGAAUGCGACCCCAGGAUGGGCGAGGCCACCCG
This 765-nucleotide ribosomal RNA is filed under the name Andinia longiserpens. Its description in RNAcentral is "eukaryotic LSU rRNA". The stretch from base 333 to 488 matches the Rfam family "5.8S ribosomal RNA". Lineage: Eukaryota; Viridiplantae; Streptophyta; Magnoliopsida; Asparagales; Orchidaceae. The record is from RNAcentral.